This 254-nucleotide ribosomal RNA is filed under the name uncultured bacterium. RNAcentral's name for it is "partial 16S ribosomal RNA". It matches the Rfam family "Bacterial small subunit ribosomal RNA", at positions 524 to 777 of the family's 1533-position model. The record is from RNAcentral.
UACGGGGGGGGCAAGCGUUGUUCGGAAUUACUGGGCGUAAAGGGCUCGUAGGUGGCCAACUAAGUCAGACGUGAAAUCCCUCGGCUUAACCGGGGAACUGCGUCUGAUACUGGAUGGCUUGAGUUUGGGAGAGGGACGCGGAAUUCCAGGUGUAGCGGUGAAAUGCGUAGAUAUCUGGAGGAACACCGGUGGCGAAGGCGGCGUCCUGGACCAACACUGACGCUGAGGUGCGAAAGCAUGGGGAGCAAACAGGG